This is a long non-coding RNA of Callithrix jacchus (white-tufted-ear marmoset), 1813 nucleotides long. Lineage: Eukaryota; Metazoa; Chordata; Mammalia; Primates; Cebidae. The record is from Ensembl.
CAGCCAUCCUCAUCUCCACUUGACUUUGGUCUCCCACAGAUGGCCAAGCCUGCUUCCCAGAUCUCACUUGUGUUAAAUGGUUUUGCCUCACAAAUCUCAAAUUCCAAAAUAUGUCUAAGAUCACCAUGAAUUAGAAACCCUUUUAUAAUUCAUGUGACAACUCGAGUCAUAAGCUGUGGCUCCUGUCUCUCUUUGUGGCCUCAACUCUUACCACUUGCCACAGGACCCUACAGUCCAGCCUCCAGCUUCUGGGUCUUGUGUAUUCUGCUCUCCUCCAGGGACCAGCACGGCUGAGGGCUCUGUGAGUGGAGGAAACUGAGCCAGCGCCUGGGAUGAAGAAGGUGAGGGCAUGUGCAGGAAGCACCAUAGCCCAGCUUUCCACCAGCCCAGCUUCACCACUACACAGUGUGUCUCUAUACCGAGGAGCUACCUGCUUUGAGACUCAGUCUUCCUACAAGGCAAAAAGAGAAAACGUGGCUGCUCAAUGUGGUCCAGACUUGGAGCCAGUGAACCAAGCUCUCACCAUGCGGCACAAUCUCCUCAGCCUCAUGUUCAAUGUGCUUUCUUUAGAAAUGCUGAUUGUAAAUGAUGACACCUUUUAAAAACGAAAAUUCAAUUAAAUUCAAUACAUAUUUAUUGGGCACAUGCUUCAUUUAAGUUCCUGAUUUAGAAAAAUCCAUUCCCGCCCCUGAGAACCUCAUAAUCUGUAGGAGGAGACAUAAAUAGAAACAGCUGAGAAUGAUCAUGUAAAAUCCACACAUAGCCUCUUGCACACAUAUCCCAGAAAGGAAAGGACAAAGCUUUGAACACAUUCAUGCCUUUGGCUUAGGAAAUGUUAAGGAUUUGGAGACUAUCAAAUGCAGUACAUUCUAUUAUUGAGAGUUAGGGAGCUCAGGCAAUCUUCUAUAGAGAUAUGAAAAGAUGGUUGAAAAAAUAAGUCUCCAGUUUAUUUGGAGUUUGUUAUUUAGGGAAAAAUGCAAUUUAUGUGUCCCAGGGUUGGCUGGAUGUGAUGGCUCAAGCCUGUAAUCACAGUGACUCAGAAGGCUUCAGUGGGAGGGAUGCUUGAGCCCAGGGGUUCAAGACCAGCCUGAACAACAUAGCAAGACCCCAUCUCUAAAAAUGAUUUUUUAAAAUAAGCUGGAAUGGUGGCACGUACCUGUGGUUCCAGCUAUUUGGGAGACUGAGGCAGGAGGAUCUUUUGAGCUGAGGAGGUCAAGGCUGCAGUGAGCCAUGAUCAUGCCACUGCAUUCCAGCAUGGGCAACAGAGAAAGAUCUUGUCUGAAACAAAACACAACAAAACAAUAUAAAAAUCCACAAAAGUUACAGGCUGAAGUACAAAAGGUGAUAGUAAGAUUCAUAGUAAAAUAAUGGGAAUCACUUAUGUACUCUAUUUACUUAGUCAUUGCAUUUAAAAUCUAUGAUGCAAUACACAAUUGUAUGAAUAAUGUAAUUUAAAACCAAUGAAAGGCUGGGUGCAGUGGCUCACACUGUAAUCCCAGCACUUUGAGAGGCCAAGGUGGGCAGAUCACUUGAGGUCAAGAGUUUGAGACCAGCCUAGCCAACACUGGUGAAACCCCAUCUCUACUAAGUAUACAAAAAAUUAGCCAGGCAUGGUGGCAGGUACCUAUAGUCCUAGCUACAAGGGAGGCUGAGGCAUGAGAAUUGCUUGACCUGGGAGGUUCAUGCCACUGUACUCCAGCCUGGGUGACAGAGCAGGACUCUGUCUCAAAAAAAAAAAAAAGUGAAAGAACUGGUAAAAAGAAAUCAGAUCUGCCUUAAAUGUGGGAUCUGCUAAAACAGUGGCUCUGUGAUA